Molecule: ribosomal RNA, 775 nt
Filed under: uncultured Neocallimastigales
Lineage: Eukaryota; Fungi; Neocallimastigomycota; Neocallimastigomycetes; Neocallimastigales
Description: partial large subunit ribosomal RNA
Rfam family: Eukaryotic large subunit ribosomal RNA
Source: RNAcentral
GUACACGCUGUGACUAGCAUAUCAAUAAGCGGAGGAAAAGAAACUAACAAGGAUUCCCCUAGUAACGGCGAGUGAAGCGGGAAGAGCUCAAAUUUGAAAUCUUAAAGGGUUUCCCUUUACGAAUUGUAGUUUAAAGAAGUGUUUUCUGUUGAGGUUUUGGUAAAAGUUCUUUGGAAUAGGACAUCAUAGAGGGUGAGAAUCCCGUAUUUGACCUUUACUUUCAACUUUGUGAUACACUUUCAAAGAGUCGGAUUGUUUGGGAAUGCAGUCCAAAAUGGGUGGUAAAUUUCAUCUAAAGCUAAAUAUUGGCGAGAGACCGAUAGCGAACAAGUACCGUGAGGGAAAGAUGAAAAGAACUUUGAAAAGAGAGUUAAACAGUACGUGAAAUUGUCAAAAGGGAAGCGUUUGACACCAGUGUUGUUUUUCUGAAAAUCAAUUAAAGAACUGUUUAUGCUAAGUUGUUUAGACUUUAUCAGCUAACUGUUUAGUUUUGAGCUUUUCUUUAAUGCACUUUUCAGUUAACAAGUCAACAUCAAUUUCUUUUGCCUGUAAAAAAGCUUGAGGGAGGUGGCUUGAGAUUCGUCUUAAGUGUUUAUAGCCUCUUGCCUAUGCAGUCGGAGAGAUUGAGGUCUGCAGCGUAGAUCCUUCGGGGCUAAAUGCAUUUGUGCUAAGUUAUAGCAUUUUAUAGACAACUUGUUGACUAUGAUUUGUCUUGUAGCUUACUCGCUUAUGUUAUUUUACCUACGCUUAGGAUGUUGACGCGCGUGUGUGCGUG